GGUUCUUACAUCUUAGAGUUUACCAACAUGUAUAUAUUUGUGUUUGCAUUGAGCAUAUUGUAGUGAAUACAUGUGGACACAUCUUUUGUGUGUGUCUCUCUCUGUGAGAAAGAAAGAAAGAAAAGAAAGAAAAGGAAAGAAAGAAAAAAAGAAGGAAAGAAAGAAAAAAGGAAGGAAGGAAGGAAGGAAGGAAGGAAGGAAGGAAGGAAGGAAGACAAAAAAAGCAACAAUGAAAGAACAAACAAACAAAAGCAGACUUUUUUGAACUCAAUUAAAGCCCCUUUUGUUCCUCUAAGAAAAGAAGAUGUGCUGAAAUACGAACAGAUAAAAAAAUAAAAGUGUCAGGAUUUGACUGGAUUUGUAAAAAGAUGAGAACAUCAUUCAGCCAUCAUCAGAUAAGUUACUUCCUGCAGAAGAUGGGAACAUGUACAAUGAUCUACAGCCAGAUGUUAAACACAGAGAGACCUUGGAAUGCAUAUCUAUAAACUGGUAUCUCCAUCAAAUCUGUCUUCUUGCAGCUCAGAACCUCAAGAAAGAGGAGGCAAAAUGAGUGAGGCACAGGAAAUGCCUCUAAAUCAAAGUUCAUAUGAAUUUAUAGAGAUAGUAUAGCAGUAGUCACAGGACCUACCUGGGUCUUCAACAGGUCGUAUACAUAUAGACUAUAGCAUAUAUCCUUAGGAAAAUUUUGCAUAUCCUGAAUGUGUAAAAA
This 709-nucleotide long non-coding RNA is filed under the name Mus caroli (Ryukyu mouse). RNAcentral's name for it is "predicted gene 15584 (MGP_CAROLIEiJ_G0002411.1)". Lineage: Eukaryota; Metazoa; Chordata; Mammalia; Rodentia; Muridae. The record is from RNAcentral.